CCCGCCCUAGUAGCUUAAACCUAAAGCGCUGGUCUUGUAAGCCAGAAAUGAAAUACACCCUCCUAGGACA
This 70-nucleotide transfer RNA is filed under the name Lacerta viridis viridis. RNAcentral's name for it is "transfer RNA-Thr". It matches the Rfam family "tRNA". From Rfam's summary of the family: Transfer RNA (tRNA) molecules are approximately 80 nucleotides in length. Their secondary structure includes four short double-helical elements and three loops (D, anti-codon, and T loops). Further hydrogen bonds mediate the characteristic L-shaped molecular structure. tRNAs have two regions of fundamental functional importance: the anti-codon, which is responsible for specific mRNA codon recognition, and the 3' end, to which the tRNAs corresponding amino acid is attached (by aminoacyl-tRNA synthetases). tRNAs cope with the degeneracy of the genetic code in two manners: having more than one tRNA (with a specific anti-codon) for a particular amino acid; and 'wobble' base-pairing, i.e. permitting non-standard base-pairing at the 3rd anti-codon position. Lineage: Eukaryota; Metazoa; Chordata; Lepidosauria; Squamata; Lacertidae. The record is from RNAcentral.